AGAGUUUGAUCCUGGCUCAGAUUGAACGCUGGCGGCAUGCUUUACACAUGCAAGUCGAACGGUAACAGGCCGCAAGGUGCUGACGAGUGGCGAACGGGUGAGUAAUGCAUCGGAACGUGCCCAAUCGUGGGGGAUAACGCAGCGAAAGCUGUGCUAAUACCGCAUACGAUCUACGGAUGAAAGCGGGGGACUCGCAAGAGCCUCGCGCGAUUGGAGCGGCCGAUGUCAGAUUAGGUAGUUGGUGGGGUAAAGGCUCACCAAGCCAACGAUCUGUAGCUGGUCUGAGAGGACGACCAGCCACACUGGAACUGAGACACGGUCCAGACUCCUACGGGAGGCAGCAGUGGGGAAUUUUGGACAAUGGGCGCAAGCCUGAUCCAGCAAUGCCGCGUGCAGGAAGAAGGCCUUCGGGUUGUAAACUGCUUUUGUACGGAACGAAACGGUCUGGAUUAAUACCCUGGGCUAAUGACGGUACCGUAAGAAUAAGCACCGGCUAACUACGUGCCAGCAGCCGCGGUAAUACGUAGGGUGCGAGCGUUAAUCGGAAUUACUGGGCGUAAAGCGUGCGCAGGCGGUUUUGUAAGACAGUCGUGAAAUCCCCGGGCUCAACCUGGGAAUGGCGAUUGUGACUGCAAGGCUGGAGUGCGGCAGAGGGGGAUGGAAUUCCGCGUGUAGCAGUGAAAUGCGUAGAUAUGCGGAGGAACACCGAUGGCGAAGGCAAUCCCCUGGGCCUGCACUGACGCUCAUGCACGAAAGCGUGGGGAGCAAACAGGAUUAGAUACCCUGGUAGUCCACGCCCUAAANCGAUGUCAACUGGUUGUUGGGUCUCUUCUGACCUCAGUAACGAAAGCUAANCGCGUGAAGUGACCCGCCUGGA
Molecule: ribosomal RNA, 877 nt
Filed under: uncultured bacterium
Lineage: Bacteria
Description: bacterial SSU rRNA
Rfam family: Bacterial small subunit ribosomal RNA
Source: RNAcentral